This is a non-coding RNA of Heliocybe sulcata, 82 nucleotides long. The record is from the annotation of a GenBank genome assembly. Lineage: Eukaryota; Fungi; Basidiomycota; Agaricomycetes; Gloeophyllales; Gloeophyllaceae.
GGCAAGAUGGCCGAGCGGUCCAAGGCGCUAGCUUCAGGUGCUAGUCUCUUCGGGGGCGUGGGUUCGAAUCCCACUCUUGUCA